This is a long non-coding RNA of Lytechinus variegatus (green sea urchin), 5657 nucleotides long. RefSeq lists it as uncharacterized. Lineage: Eukaryota; Metazoa; Echinodermata; Echinoidea; Temnopleuroida; Toxopneustidae. The record is from RefSeq and is a predicted model, not a curated record. The transcript has 2 exons.
ACGCAAUCGUGAUUCUGCAGAAUCGUGAUUUGAAUCAUGAUUCUAGGGUAAAAAAGUGUCGAAUAAACGCACCCUUAGUUAUCUUACAAUAUCCUGAAGGUGUCCAAAUUGGUGCAAAGAUAUCACAAUGGUUUGUAGUCCAUUGUUGGCAGGCAGGUACAUAUACAUCUCUGCAGCACAAGUGUACAUUAGAAGGACAUUAAAUAUAAGUGAUAUUUGCUAAUCUCCUUAGAGAUAUUAUAGUGAUCAUCAUGGGACUGAAUACUCCAUACAUAGAGUAGUAUAGUACAUGUAUAUACAUUCUCAAUUCCUGCAUUUUGCAAGCAUGAAGUUUUGCUUUUAUAAUAAGAGCUUAAGGAUGUUUUAAGGUAAAAAUUAAUUUUGAUAGAAAUAUCAAUACACUCAUUGCUUUGUAAAAUAUUGUUUUAGAGAGCUACAUGUAUUUCUUUUGAAGGAAUUAAAAGGUAUUAAGGUCACCCUAAUGUCAUGUUAUUUUUUUAAGUAGAAAAAUUAGGUAAAGUGUGUUACAGGUCUGAAUGAAGUGGGAGUUUAAGCCAUUGACUACUGGAAACAGGUAGUCCCUUUGUAAAUUUUAUUGGAAUAUUGUAAUUAAGUAGUCAAUAGGUUAAAUGAAAUGUAAGUAAUGAUCAUCUUUAUGGUAGAUAUGUUUGAUGAGUCUUCAGAGCCUUGUUUGAUCUUCGUGCCUUGGUUAAUUCAGCCAACCAUAUUUCAUUCUUGAUAUCACUUUACAGGCAUCACUAUAUAUAUUCAAUUCGUGUUUAGUUUUUAUACUGUUGUGAUUGUACAGAGGUGAGCAUAAUUUAAAUGAGCCAUUGUAUUGUAUGAUUAUAAUCAAUGGUAAAUUGUAUAUUUAGAUAUUUGCUUUUUACUACAAUCAAAGUAUGGUAUAUCAAAACCCUAUUCUGUUUUGGUUUACCCUUAAGAUGACAGUGGUUUCUUGUUUGAAGAUUGCCAUUAGCAUGACAAAAUAAAAGUUAAUCCUAGCAUUGGUAAAAAAAAAUUAUAGGAACAAGGAUUUCUACCAGAUUAUUUUGCUCAUGCCUUCAAUUUUUUUUUAUUGUUUGUUUCUAUUUUUUAUAUUUUAAUGAUUUAUUUGUUUUAAUUGUAAUUAUAUAUGUAUAUAAUUUUUUUUUUUUGGGGGGGGGAUCAUAUUCAAUAGUUAAUGUACAACUGCUGAUGCUGAAAGUGUUAGUAUAAAGAAACUAUGACUUUAAUUUUUUUAUUUCUGUUGUAUUUCAUUGAAUGUGGAUAAUGAAAUAGCAGAUUACUGAAAAAAUAUAAUAUAUUUUUUGCAGAAGUGGUUUAGAAACCAGCUGCUCAUUGUUUGAAAUUUGGUCUUUAAAAAUAGUUCAUAGUUAACAUGUUUUUUUAAAUUAUAAUUUGAUUUGCGUUUGUUACCUAUAUUAUACUUAUGCUGGUAAAUAACUAAGGAGUUAACAUGAUUGCCUAUUACUUACACAGGUUAGUUAUUAGAGUAGGCCUAGGGAGCAUGUAAGUCUGUUUGACAAGUGCAACUCAAGAAUAUUCAGAUAUCCCAUACUGGUCUUGGUCUUGCAUGUAAUACUCAGAAUAUUCCAGUCAAUAAUGGAAAUAUAAGUUGAAGCAUAUGAGCAGUGCCAUGUCUGUGAACUGUUGGUUGUAAUUGUAAAUAUUCUUGAAUCAGUCAUUAUAACAGCAUGCACAUGUACUUUAUCAAUUUUUAGAUUGGUUAUUCUAGGUGUAUUUCACAGAUAUCAAAUUAUUUCCAGCAUGCCAUAAAGAAAAAUGUUUAAGAAUUACUAUGUAGUUGGUAGCAUUUUGAUGUCAGUACAUGAUUUGCUUUAGUAAUCAAAAAGUUGAUUACUAAAGCAACUGUAAUCAAAACUAACUGAAAUAAAUGUGACAAUGAGUGAAUGAGAAAUUGACCAGAUUAACCCUAACUGGGCUGGGGUAAGGUCUUAUACCCCCCCACCCUCCCUCAACAUUUGGUGUGAAUUAAUUCUACCUUUCUAAAAAGAUUUCACUGCAAUGUCGUACAACAUAUUUUUACCUAGUUUUCCACAUCUUGGGAUACUAAAUUUGUUACCCCCAGUAUGCAUAUAAUCUUAAGAUACACUCAUCAUACCAAAAUGAAAAAAACAUAUAUUUUGUGUAGAAUUUUGAUAAAGGCUGUGUUUUAGCCCAAAUUUAUAGUAUGAUUACAUUAUUGCCAUUACUUAAUCACAACGAAUAAGUUACAUGUUUUUUUAUGAUUGCAAAAAUGUAGCUAGUAAACCUAAAUGUCUGAUAACUAAAGGUGAAUUUGCGUACAUAAGAAUAACAUUAACUAUCAUAUUAGGAUGUUUAUGGAUUUAUAUCACCCCCCUGAUUUCACAAUUUAACAUUGAUAUAAAAGUAUCAAUAAAAAAAUGAAAUGUAGAGUUUGCAGCUUAUGCUAUGGGCAAACUGUGUGCUGAUCUUUUCAAAAAGUCAAUUAUGUGAUCAAUAGCCAAGAUCAUUAUGUACCAAAUAGCUGGCUUAAUUAGGGUUAAACUUUGCCACUUUCUCUUUUUUUUCAUUUGGUGAAACAGAUGAGAAAAUUAAUCUAUGAUCAGGACAAAAUGUUCAGUGUUUUUGUAAAUUAUGUGAUAUAGCAUGAAAUGCAAGAUAGUUUUUGUAACAAAUGUGUUGUAUUGUAAUUGGUACAGUGUGUCAAAUUGAUGAAAAUAUGGGGGAGUUACAGGGAGGCUCUGGGCUGAACAUAGUUACAUCUUAAUACAGUAAAAAUCACUGGGCAAAGUGCUGAAAAUUUCAUCAAAAUCUGAUCACAAAUAAUGAAAUUUAAAGUUUAGCAAAACAGUUUAAUGCCCAUGUUCAUAAGGUGGAGUGGCCACAUCCCCACUUUCGCUUUUAUGUUACAUUUAUUUAAUGAAAUCACAAUUUCAUUUUUUCAUACAUGUGUUGUCUCUGUUGUAUCAAUAUGUUACAGCUGUGAAUAUCUAAUUCAGUUUUCAGUUAGCUCAUUGAAUAUUCAUGAAGACAUGCCUAGAACUGUUUCAUAAAAACAAUGCAAAUCUUUAAAAUGCUGUAAUAGUGCUAUUCUUUGUCCAGUUUUGAUGUCAUUUUCAGUGUUUUGUUUGUCUGAUAUAUUGUAUUUUCAGCCAGAAGUACCCCUUUAAAACAGUCUGAUGUAGUGAACAGAGGAUAAAAUACAUAUAUUUUGACAUGUUGGCAAGUUUUUCUUUAAUUGCUAUUUUUGCGUGGAAUUAUGAAAUUUGCUGUGAUAUCUUGGCAUAAGGCAUCUUUUUGGUGAAAAAGAAAUAUAGAGCAGCUGGAAAUAAUUAUAUUUCUAUUUAAAGGAUUUUUGUAUAUAAUGAGGUUUAUGAGGAACUGUCUACAUGUACAUGGUCUGUUUUAAUCUUUUUAUGUCGAUGUUGAUCAUAUUCUUAAGUAGAAAACAAUAUGAUCUCAUUUUGAGUACUUUGGAAAUACUUCUAACCUGUUUGUAUCAGCUGUAUGCAACAUCACAAACCUACAUGAAGCAAACUUGUUUUAAUUUAAGAUAAAAAGUUUAUUGUUUAACAAUUCAAAAAAUUGAUGGUAUUCCAGAAUACAAAAUGUUUUUAAAAGCUUAAAAUGAAUGGAAUUGUUAUUACUUUAACCAUUAUUGUAUCAUUGCACAAGUCAAUUGAUUGGUCAUUUUCCAAAAUACAACUUAUAACAAAAUAUUUUGGGGGACAUAAUUGAUUUAUCAUCAAGCUUAUUUUCAAAGUUUCAAAUCGCUAUUACUUGUAUGUAUUUAUACAAUAUAUUUCUAUAAUCAUUCUACAUUUGAAAUGAAAUUAGCAAUGCAGACCUCUUGACAUUUCUGAAAGAAAUGUAGGAUUUUUCUGUAAAACGAAAGAGAAAACAAGAAAACGAUCUGAUUGGAUCCAAUGACUAGUUCUAAUAACUGGUCCUGGUUUUGAGAAGAGGAUGUUAUAUCAAAUAACACAGAUCCAAACAACACUGCAUACCCAUUGUUUUGCUCAGGGUUCAGAAUGAUAACAUACAACUUGUUACCUUUGAAUAAGUCCAAAUGCCCUUGGCUAGGCUUUGGGCGUGUUAGAAUUGUUCCAAAGGUACCUCAUGCGUUUGGUUCUUACUAUCUUGAUCUUGAUGAUGUGUAUCUUAUGUAUAUCAUGAACCUGGUUCCAUGAUAUCCACUCCGGCAACAAUUUCUCUGCUAUAAAUUCCACAAACAACUAGAAUGGCCGACUUCAGUCCUGGGUUUAACACUAUAUAUUCCCUAUCCUAAACCUAGUCAUAAAACACUAUUGAAACCCUAACCCUAUAUUUCAGACGAAAUAAGCCCAGAGCAAUUGUCGCCAAAGCAACUGUCGCGUCACCUACUAGCCUUGCAUAAGAACGGAUGCCAUCCAAGUAUCAUCGCACCUGUUGCAUUUCAGGUAUACUACACUGGUCAAAAUAUACCUUAUGCAUUGUCAUAAUCUCAAAGCGCCCUCCCUCAGAGGAUAUAGUAAUACAUGUAAACAGAGUUGUCAGAGAUGUGUCAGCUGCAGAUCACCAAUGCAGGCAGGACAAUGGCUUCAGCCUCUUAGAUAGUGGCGCAAUGUGUCAGUGCAUAAAACAUCUAUUAGGAUUCCAUUUUCUGAAUUCAGAAUGGUUGAAAGGUCUGUGAAGCCUAGUAUGAUGUUUCUUGAUGUUUGUCUAAUUUCACACUUUUUAAAGUUAAGAUUACCACACAAUAUUCAGUGUCUUGGAUGUCCUUGACUGCAACUAUAAUUGUAAUCAACAUCCAUGGUAGCAAAGCUGAAUUAUAAUUUCAAUGUGUAAGCCCUAAAAUUACCAGUGUUACUACAUGUAAGUUACUCAUGCAAGCUUCCUGUAAACAUAAGAUUUGCACUGGCAACGUUGGAUGCAAGAUUAUACUCCAUACAGGGCCAUUAAGAAAGUGGGUUGUUUUCUUCAGUUUUCUGAUGUGCAAAUUGGAACAAUUCCAAUAUUUGGCAAAACGGGGAUGUGCCCCCUCAAUUCAUGCAUUUUCUGUAAAAGUUAACUACCCAUGUUAUUUGUAUAUUGAAUUUUUUUAUAUCGGUGAAGUAAACUGAUGUGACUACCACUCCAAAACCAAGAAACCGGUGCCUUGAAGUUUCUUCGUCAGUAGCCAAAAUAUUAAUUUGGACAAAGUAAACAUGAAUUAGUUUAUCUCAAAGAAUAAUUCUUCCUUUGACACCAUUUUUUCUGGACUAUGUGCACAUAUCAUGCUCGAGUAACCCCAAACUGUAAACUUCGUUUUGAAGCCUCUCACUGAAUUUGUCCUGCUUUAAUCAAGUACUUUGUGGGUGAUUUUGAUCAAUUUUGACAAGAUACAUAUAUAAUUUCAAGGCUUAUGAAAUGCUUUUACUAGAUCAAUUCAUAUCUCAAAAUUCAUUUUGGGUGACUUAUUGUUGGUUUAGGGGUGGCAGGUCACAAAGCAGCCACUUAAAAAAAUCAUUCACAGCAAUUACACAGAAUAUUGUUUGAACUUAAUUCAAGGCAUUCAGAUCUUUGUUAUAUUUGAUAACCAUCAGCUUGUGGAGAAUCAAUUCAUCAGCUCAACUUCUAUAUUUUUCAUGAAAUGUACUACUCAGACAUUGUUAAGUGUUUUCUUUCAAUUAAAGUAUUAAUUCACUAGA